AGUAAUGCCUAGGAAUCUGCCUGGUAGUGCGGGACAACGUUUCGAAAGGAACGCUAAUACCGCAUACGUCCUACGGGAGAAAGCAGGGGACCUUCGGGCCUUGCGCUAUCAGAUGAGCCUAGGUCGGAUUAGCUAGUUGGUGAGGUAAUGGCUCACCAAGGCGACGAUCCGUAACUGGUCUGAGAGGAUGAUCAGUCACACUGUAACUGAGACACGGUCCAG
Molecule: ribosomal RNA, 222 nt
Filed under: uncultured Pseudomonadales bacterium
Lineage: Bacteria; Pseudomonadati; Pseudomonadota; Gammaproteobacteria; Pseudomonadales
Description: partial 16S ribosomal RNA
Rfam family: Bacterial small subunit ribosomal RNA
Source: RNAcentral